CCAGCACCACAAAAAAAGAAAAUUGUAUGGUUAAAAUAGGCUUAAAAGGUGAUCCUCUCUAAAACUAGCCUUAAUUAAUGAAGUGAUAGAGGAAAACUUUGAAUAGAGAGCUUUCAAAUGAUUUCACUGCAUGAUACACAUUCUUGGAAGAUGACACUUGCUUAAAUUUGACGUUGUAAAGGAAAGCUGCCAAACGUGGAGGUAUAUGCCUAUAAUCCCAGCGACUGGAGAGGCUGAGGCAGGAGAAUCACAAGUUUGAGGCUAGCCACAGCAAGUAACAAGUCAAACAGUAAAACCCUCUCUCAAAUGAAAACUAAAAAGAGUUGAGAUAUAGCUCAGUGGUAAAAUGCCCCUGGGUUCCAUCCCUAAAGCCAAAAAGGAAGAAAAAAAUAAAGGAAAGCCCUAUGCAAUACUUCCUUAUCCAAACCCUCCACUUAUAUUUUACCAAUGUAUAUAUUCUGUAUUUAUUUCUGGUGAAUUGGAACACAAGAUGAUAAGCUGAGCAGGAAGAAAAAGGGACAAGCUUUUCCUGAUUUUUUUCUCUUUCCAAAUAUGAAACUUGUUCUUAAGUAUGCUCACUGGAGUGAGAUUAUUUAUGAGAUUAUUCUAUAGAACCUAAGAGACUAUGGAGUGAAAUUAUUUAUGAGAUUAUUCUGAAAGAACCUAAGAGACUAUUUACAGUAGCUGUCGAAAAAAGCCUAUGUCUUCUGAUGUUAUUGGUACUAAGGUGCACUUUAGAAACUGAUAAUUGACCUAAUGCCUCCUAAUUGCUUUAAAUUUUAAUAUAAAAUGUGCAACAGCAAUUAUGAAGUUCUUGUAACUUUUAAAAUAGCUAUCAAUGAGCAAUGUUUAUAGUAUUCACACAGACAUCUAUCUCACUGAGCACAUUUUCAUGACUUAUGUCAGCAUUUCCAUUUAUAAAACUAUCUAAUUAAAUGUUUUUUUAAAACUGUGCUUUUAAGGGGCUAGGAAUAUAUCUCAGUUGUGGAGAGCUUACCUAGUAUGUAUGAGGCCCUGGGUUCAAUAAAAUAAAUAAUGCUUCGAGAGUCAAUUACUUAUAAAUUCAGUAGUUUAAAUUCAGGUAUUCCAGCUAUUUAGGUUAUAGAUGUCUAGAUGCAUUAAAUGUCUAGAUCCACUUAAAGACAGUUCUAUGACACAUAUAUUCAUAUAGGACAAGUCCAAAUUUAUGUUUGCUUCACUUAAUAAAUCUGAUCACUUUUAAAUAACAGAAGUAGAGACUCACCAGAGUCAGAAUUCAGAAAUCUGAUAAGGUGUGGGAUGCCUUUAUGGUUUUUUACUGCUCUUUGAUUGUUUUCAUUUCCUAUACAUAAUACACGUAAACAAUUCAUAAUAUUUACUAACACGCUUUCUAUGUUUACUGUCAAGAGAUUUAUCAGAGCUGGGAUUCCAUUCUAAAAAUAAACAAAAAGUAAUUACAUUUAAAUUUAUUUAAGAUAAAUGUAAUCUUAGUUUAGAAACAAGUCUAUAAUCUUUCUUGCUGUAAAUAUCUGUUCAUUUACAAGACAACAAUCGACUAUAAAUGAUUGUGUCUACUGAUGUGAUAAAUGACAGCACAAUUUUGAGCAAAUAUUUAUGGCAAGAAUUCAAUAAAUACAUUUAAAAAUAGCAUCUAGAACAACUUGAGGCUCCAAUUUCACUGUAAUAUUUAAUAAAUAUCUAAGAAGUGAAGCAACUAGUAAGAUCAAUUGAAUAUAUUACACCAUUUGGAAAUAUUUGCCAUUGUGAACACUGCACUGGUAAUUGGUAAUUAUGUUUGUGUAACACCAAAUAUUAUUUUAAAAUGUUAAUAUAAUUCCCUAAUUUUAAAUGGAGUACACAUAUCAUUUCUCCUUGCGAACAAAAGUAAUGCAAGAAUACCAAGAAAAAUGAGAGACAAGGGGACAUCUGCAGUGCUGAAAUAUAAUAAAUGUGUACAAGUUGCCAACAGGUAUGAU
Molecule: long non-coding RNA, 1955 nt
Filed under: Marmota monax (woodchuck)
Lineage: Eukaryota; Metazoa; Chordata; Mammalia; Rodentia; Sciuridae
Source: RNAcentral